This 85-nucleotide non-coding RNA is filed under the name Paenibacillus antibioticophila. Its description in RNAcentral is "Cyclic di-GMP-I riboswitch". It matches the Rfam family "c-di-GMP-I riboswitch aptamer". From Rfam's summary of the family: GEMM was predicted in a large-scale screen for bacterial structured RNA regulatory elements. Genes associated with GEMM are involved in a diverse array of functions, including chemotaxis regulation, signal transduction, secretion and chitin. The record is from RNAcentral. Lineage: Bacteria; Bacillati; Bacillota; Bacilli; Caryophanales; Paenibacillaceae.
UUGAUAAAGGCAAAUCCAUCGAAAGAUGGCGACGCAAAGCUACAGGGGCUACAGCGGUUCAUCCGCAAUGCCAGCCAGUUACCGA